GGUUUAGUCAUGCUGGCCACAUGACCUGGAAAGCUGUCUGUGGACAAACACCGGAUCCCUUGGCCUGAAAUUGAGACGAACGCCACAACCCCAUAGUCGCCUUUGACUGGACUUAAUCGUCUAGGGGUCCUUUACCUUUUACCCUAUUCCUGAACCCUAGUAAGCUGCCCACCAUUUUUUUCAAGUAGUCCUUGCAUGCUCAGACAUCAACUGAGUUUUUCGGGGGGAGGCCAAACCCUUUCAUUUUCAGUUUGAUUUUUUGCUGAACUAAAAUGUGGUUUUAGCAAUCUCUGAUUUAUUCCUUUCCCCUUUUUUCUGUUUGGUCUUGGCACACACACACGGAUUCUCUCUUUGUUUUGGGUAGCUGGUGAAGAGAGGGGACCUUUCUGUCCAGUGACCCUGGGAUGUCAUUUGAUUGAACCAAAAACUGUGCUACUUCAGCAAACAUAGUCCAAGUUGGACAAUUAUCCCCUCCCCAUUCCUAACACCCACCCACCCAGUCUUCUUUGAAAUGCAGUCAGAAACAUUUAAUUUAUUUCUGCCUGUUCAUAGAACAAUUCGGGAAUUGAAUGACAAGGUUGCUUGUUGAGAUUGAGUCUUAAUAAAAUUCAGAUGAAUGCUGGUGAGGAAAAAUUAAAUUAUAUGACUUGGUGAUGCAUUUUUCUCUCUUUUCUCCAAGGAUUUAGCAAUGAGAGCAGUUAAAGGAAUCGCAAAUUGGUAUCUGGGCAGGCACCACAAAAUAAUAUCAACCAAUUUCCAGAAAGCUCCUGAACUCCCACCAGAUAUUUAGAUUUUCAGCUUCGUAGUAGAAAGCUCCCCAGGAU
Non-coding RNA from Podarcis lilfordi (Lilford's wall lizard), 824 nucleotides. NCBI's taxonomy places the organism in Eukaryota, Metazoa, Chordata, Lepidosauria, Squamata, Lacertidae. The record is from the annotation of a GenBank genome assembly.